AUGAUUGAACAAAAGUUAAUGU
This 22-nucleotide non-coding RNA is filed under the name Arabidopsis thaliana (thale cress). Lineage: Eukaryota; Viridiplantae; Streptophyta; Magnoliopsida; Brassicales; Brassicaceae. The record is from RNAcentral.